GCCGGGCGCGGUGGCGUGUGCCUGUGGUCCCAGCUACUCGGGAGGCUGAGGCAGGAGGAUCACUUGAGCCCAGGAGUUCUGGGCUGUAGUGCGCCAUGCCGAUCGGGUGUCUGCACUAAGUUCGGCAUCAAUAUGGUGAUCUCCCAGGAGCGGGGAGCCACCAGGUUGCCUAAGGAGGGGUGAACUGGCCCAUGUCGGAAAGGAAGAAGGGGUUGGGCUCUAGCUCAGGGGGAGAGCUUACCCAGCAUGUGGCUCCAUCCCCAGCACCAGAGAAGAGGAGAGAGAA
RNAcentral lists this signal recognition particle RNA (286 nucleotides) under Sciurus vulgaris (Eurasian red squirrel). Its description in RNAcentral is "Metazoan signal recognition particle RNA (ENSSVLG00005004753.1)". It matches the Rfam family "Metazoan signal recognition particle RNA". Rfam says of the family: The signal recognition particle (SRP) is a universally conserved ribonucleoprotein. It is involved in the co-translational targeting of proteins to membranes. The record is from Rfam by way of RNAcentral. Lineage: Eukaryota; Metazoa; Chordata; Mammalia; Rodentia; Sciuridae.